This 1072-nucleotide long non-coding RNA is filed under the name Sus scrofa (pig). Its description in RNAcentral is "lncRNA (ENSSSCG00045015789.1)". Lineage: Eukaryota; Metazoa; Chordata; Mammalia; Artiodactyla; Suidae. The record is from RNAcentral.
UCCGUCCUACUCCAGAGAAGAGUAAAACUUAAGCCCCCCAAAAUGGAUUUUUGCAUAUCUCUGCAACUACGGGUUGAAUAUGAAGUAAUUUAAAAUGCAGUAAAGCUCAGCAAUUUAGUGCAUAGGUUAGCGAAAAUACACAUGUUUUGCCAAGAGGCUCCACACAGAUGGAAAACCUCUUUCUAGACACCAAUUCCCUGGGUUCUAAAUAAAAGUCCCCAGUUGACUUCAUUCACUGUGGAGCAUAUUUUUAUUUGUAGGUUUUGUGUCAAAAUAGUUGGUAGCACCUCGAAAGCUCAGGAAAAAGCCUCAAGAAAGAUUCUUUGCUACCCACAUUUAUAUCAGCAAUCAGGGCUGGGGAGAAAGUGGAUAAAGCAGUGAAAUAUAGACCUGUCAAGUGAUUGCAAAAAUUAGGAAACUCUUCCUGAAAGAAAGAAGUGGGUGAUGUAUGGACGUUCCAGUCUCUCACGUGUUGGAUGUACCCCAGAAGUUAUAGAUCUCGUUGUCAGCAGAAACAUGGAGGAAGAUAAGGGGAGAGAUUCUAGUCGCUUCCAGCUUUCCAUGUAUCAUUUUCAUGUACAAAUAUCUACUUCAGUGUCAGAAGGUCUGUGCAGAGAAAAAGCACGGGGAAGGGAAGAAAGAACCGAGCAGGUAGCAGCCAACACCUUCACACGGGGAGUCGCCUGGAAGUUCAGAGGUGAGCAUGAGGCUCUCUGCCCUUCAGGGCACCUCUAGAAAUCACAAAUUUCCCCACCCAUUCCCAAGGAAGUGAAAGGCAUCGGAAGUAGCAGAAGAAACGAGGUAAGUGCCGUGAGAGCUUAUUCAGCGUUAAGGAAGCUUCUUGCACACCUACAGUGUACCAGGCAUGCUGCUGGAGGCCCCUCAGAUCACGUGUACUUGUAUUUGGCUCCUAAUAACUUAAAAGCUGUCUCCAGCGUAAGCCUUGGCAGAACCCCAAAGUUAAAUUAAGCAAAGUUGAUAAGGGUUGGCGAUUCAUGUCCGUGUUGGCUCACACAACUGCUCAGCUUGGGAAGUUCUUCCCACUGUUUCUCCUCCCUACCCUGGUUUGGGU